Molecule: ribosomal RNA, 621 nt
Filed under: uncultured Penicillium
Lineage: Eukaryota; Fungi; Ascomycota; Eurotiomycetes; Eurotiales; Aspergillaceae
Description: eukaryotic LSU rRNA
Rfam family: 5.8S ribosomal RNA (bases 243-395)
Source: RNAcentral
CUUGGUCAUUUAGAGGAAGUAAAAGUCGUAACAAGGUUUCCGUAGGUGAACCUGCGGAAGGAUCAUUACCGAGUGAGGGCCCUUGGGUCCAACCUCCCACCCGUGUUUAUUUUACCUUGUUGCUUCGGCGGGCCCGCCUUAACUGGCCGCCGGGGGGCUCACGCCCCCGGGCCCGCGCCCGCCGAAGACACCCUCGAACUUGUCUGAAGAUUGAAGUCUGAGUGAAAAUAUAAAUUAUUUAAAACUUUCAACAACGGAUCUCUUGGUUCCGGCAUCGAUGAAGAACGCAGCGAAAUGCGAUACGUAAUGUGAAUUGCAAAUUCAGUGAAUCAUCGAGUCUUUGAACGCACAUUGCGCCCCCUGGUAUUCCGGAGGGCAUGCCUGUCCGAGCGUCAUUGCUGCCCUCAAGCCCGGCUUGUGUGUUGGGCCCCGUCCUCCGAUCUCCGGGGGACGGGCCCGAAAGGCAGCGGCGGCACCGCGUCCGGUCCUCGAGCGUAUGGGGCUUUGUCACCCGCUCUGUAGGCCCGGCCGGCGCUUGCCGAUCAACCCAAAUUUUUAUCCAGGUUGACCUCGGAUCAGGUAGGGAACCCGCUGAACUUAAGCAUAUCAAUAAGCGGAGGA